Molecule: long non-coding RNA, 699 nt
Organism: Artibeus jamaicensis (Jamaican fruit-eating bat)
Lineage: Eukaryota; Metazoa; Chordata; Mammalia; Chiroptera; Phyllostomidae
Exons: 3
Source: RefSeq, a predicted model, not a curated record
GGCUGGGGGAAGGAGUGAUUUCUCCGGGAGGGGGUGUCUCAGAUCUGAAGAGCCACUUAACGCUCCCUCCUCUUCUCCGAAGGCUUCUGUUCAGGGUCAGGCAACCUGGAACUGCGUUUGAAGUGAUUCUGAACAUAUAGCAAGAAGAAAAGAGUGUACCAGACAUGGCUCAUUGGCUUCCCUUCCACAGGUGAAGAAUGAUGGAACAAUGGACUAUGCACCAGCUCCUUGGAGCCUCAGCUCAUGCACCAACCCACCUCCUGCCAUUUCCUGGCUUAUCUCCCUGAGAUGGGUUCACAGAUGUCCACUUCUCACCUCCUGGCCUCUCACACACUAUCCUGGCCUUGGGACUGCUGCUUCCUUCUGCCCCUGGAAGGGGUCUGGUUGCUAAGUUUGGGAAGGUUGGGUAUGCCUUAUGACAUCUUGGAAUGGGGCAGGGUGUCAGUCUUUUCUACUGGAUGGCAGGGCUACAGCACAUGUGGCUGGCCACUUGGCAGGGGCCUCUCAUGCACCAUGGAUCCACACCGAGUAUGCCCCAGCAUGGAGAUCGUGAUCCCUUGGAGGCCACUGACUGCCCUGGGCUGAGGCAGUGGGCAUGUGGGAAGGGGAGACUGACUUCCCUGUCCCUGGCUGAGGCCCUGCAUUUUAACUUUGUUCUGGGCCCUGCCAAUUAUGUAGUCAGCCCUGCUUGACUGCAGG